AAGCAAAAGUGACGCCGCUGCAAAGGAACUCCAUGAGUCCUGGACAAUGCUUGUCACUCCUGCAACAGAAACAAAUUAAAAUGGAACAAAUGUUACAUACUGUUGCAAUAAGGAAACAUGUUUCACUACAACUAAAGAGAAACUUAUCUUUAGGAUUCAAAUAGAACAUAUGCAAUGGAACCUAGAGAGAUCACUAUAGCUAUCCAAUGGAACCUAGAGAGAUCACUAGCUAUAUGCAAUUUUCA
This 245-nucleotide long non-coding RNA is filed under the name Hordeum vulgare. RNAcentral's name for it is "long non-coding RNA (HVUL_LNC020521)". Lineage: Eukaryota; Viridiplantae; Streptophyta; Magnoliopsida; Poales; Poaceae. The record is from RNAcentral.